CCCGCACAAGCGGUGGAGUAUGUGGUUAAUUCGAUGCAACGCGAAGAACUUACCUGGUCUUGACAUCCCGGAGACCCUUAGGAAACUAGGGGGUGCUUCCAUCUGGAAGAAUCUGGAGACAGGUGCUGCAUGGCUGUCGUCAGCUCGUGUCGUGAGAUGUUGGGUUAAGUCCCGCAACGAGCGCAACCCUUGCCUUUAGUUGCCAGCAGUUCGGCUGGGCACUCUAAAGGGACUGCCGGUGUUAAACCGGAGGAAGGUGGGGAUGACGUCAAGUCCUCAUGGCCUUUAUGACCAGGGCUACACACGUACUACAAUGGCCGAUACAAAGGGCAGCGACACUGCGAGGUGAAGCCAAUCCCGUAAAAUCGGUCUCAGUCCGGAUUGGAGUCUGCAACUCGACUCCAUGAAGUUGGAAUACGCUAGUAAUCGUGGAUCAGCAUGCCACGGUGAAUACGUUCCCGGGCCUU
This 467-nucleotide ribosomal RNA is filed under the name uncultured Desulfobulbus sp. RNAcentral's name for it is "bacterial SSU rRNA". It matches the Rfam family "Bacterial small subunit ribosomal RNA", at positions 920 to 1382 of the family's 1533-position model. Lineage: Bacteria; Pseudomonadati; Thermodesulfobacteriota; Desulfobulbia; Desulfobulbales; Desulfobulbaceae. The record is from RNAcentral.